UCGUGUCGUGAGAUGUUGGGUUAAGUCCCGCAACGAGCGCAACCCUCACCUCUUGUUGCCAUCAGGUCAUGCUGGGCACUCUAGGGGAACUGCCCCUGUCAACGGGGAGGAAGGCGGGGAUGACGUCAAGUCAUCAUGCCCCUUACGCCCUGGGCUACACACGUGCUACAAUGGCCGGUACAAAGGGAUGCCACACCGCGAGGUAGAGCUAAACCCAAAAAGCCGGUCUAAGUUCAGAUUGGAGUCUGCAACUCGACUCCAUGAAGGAGGAAUCGCUAGUAAUCGC
RNAcentral lists this ribosomal RNA (286 nucleotides) under uncultured Methylomirabilota bacterium. RNAcentral describes it as "uncultured candidate division NC10 bacterium partial 16S ribosomal RNA". It matches the Rfam family "Bacterial small subunit ribosomal RNA", at positions 1060 to 1345 of the family's 1533-position model. Lineage: Bacteria; Methylomirabilota (SeqCode). The record is from RNAcentral.